RNAcentral lists this ribosomal RNA (788 nucleotides) under uncultured archaeon. Its description in RNAcentral is "bacterial SSU rRNA". It matches the Rfam family "Archaeal small subunit ribosomal RNA", at positions 85 to 876 of the family's 1478-position model. The record is from RNAcentral.
ACGGCUCAGUAACACGUAGUCAACAUACCCAGAGGACGUGGAUAACCUCGGGAAACUGAGGAUAAACCGCGAUAGACCAUAAUGUCUGGAAUGAUUUAUGGUUCAAAUCUAUAUGGCCUCUGGAUUGGACUGCGGCCGAUCAGGCUGUUGGUGAGGUAAUGGCCCACCAAACCUGAAACCGGUACGGGCUCUGAGAGGAGAAGCCCGGAGAUGGGCACUGAGACAAGGGCCCAGGCCCUAUGGGGCGCAGCAGGCGCGAAACCUUUGCAAUAGGCGAAAGCCUGACAAGGUUACUCUGAGUGAUCUCCGCUAAGGAAAUCUUUUGACACCUCUAAAAAUGGUGCAGAAUAAGGGGUGGGCAAGCCUGGUGUCAGCCGCCGCGGUAAUACCAGCACCCCGAGUGGUCGGGACGAUUAUUGGGCCUAAAGCAUCCGUAGCCGGUUCUACAAGUCUUCCGUUAAAUCCACCUGCUUAACAGAUGGGCUGCAGAGGAUACUAUAGAGCUAGGAGGCGGGAGAGGCAAGCGGUACUCAGUGGGUAGGGGUAAAAUCCGUUGAUCCACUGAAGACCACCAGUGGCGAAGGCGGCUUGCCAGAACGCGCUCGACGGUGAGGGAUGAAAGCUGGGGGAGCAAACCGGAUUAGAUACCCGGGUAGUCCCAGCUGUAAACGAUGCAGACUCGGUGAUGAAUAGGCUUAGUGCCUAUUCAGUGCCGCAGGGAAGCCGUUAAGUCUGCCGCCUGGGGAGUACGGUCGCAAGACUGAAACUUAAAGGAAUUGGCGGGGGAG